RNAcentral lists this ribosomal RNA (487 nucleotides) under uncultured bacterium. RNAcentral's name for it is "bacterial SSU rRNA". It matches the Rfam family "Bacterial small subunit ribosomal RNA", at positions 28 to 507 of the family's 1533-position model. The record is from RNAcentral.
GAUGAACGCUAGCGGAGGCUUAAACAUGCAAGUCAGGGGCAGCAUAGGGUAGCAAUACUCUGGAUGGCGACCGGCAAACGGGUGAGUAACGCGUAUGUAACCUACCCUGUACAGGGGGAUAACCCGGAGAAAUUCGGACUAAUAUCCCAUAACAAUAUCCGGGGGCAUCUUUGGAUAUUUAAAAGUUCCGGCGGUACGGGAUGGGCAUGCGUAACAUUAGCUAGUUGGUAAGGUAACGGCUUACCAAGGCUUUGAUGUUUAGGGGUCCUGAGAGGGUGGUCCCCCACACUGGUAACUGAGACACGGACCAGACUCCUACGGGAGGCAGCAGUGAGGAAUAUUGGUCAAUGGGCGCAAGCCUGAACCAGCCAUCCCGCGUGCAGGAAGACGGCGCUAUGCGUUGUAAACUGCUUUUCCAGGGAGAGAAACUUGCGCACGUGUUGCGCAAUUGACGGUACCCUGGGAAUAAGCAUCGGCUAACUCCGUG